AAACUGCGAUAAGUAGCGUGAAUUGCAGACGCUUUGAACGUUAAACUUUCGAACGCACAUUGCGCCGUAGGAGUCCUACCCUACGGCACAUCUGGUUGAGGGUCGUGAUCAAAAACAGCCAGCAAGAUGCUGUUAGUACUACUACUGGUGAAUCACGAGUUCCGCCUACCCGUACUCGGGUGGAACGUGUUUUGCCAUCAUGUACUAGAGGACGAGGCUCGAUCCCUUCAUUGGGGUCGGUGCCUUGCCUGCCACACGGAUGGGCUAUCGGCUGAAGCGAUAGGCUCCGGUCGCCAAGUAUCGUACAUACGUGUAACAG
RNAcentral lists this unclassified non-coding RNA (319 nucleotides) under uncultured fungus. RNAcentral's name for it is "sequence contains ITS1". The stretch from base 1 to 105 matches the Rfam family "5.8S ribosomal RNA", at positions 50 to 154 of the family's 154-position model. Lineage: Eukaryota; Fungi. The record is from RNAcentral.